This 114-nucleotide ribosomal RNA is filed under the name uncultured bacterium. RNAcentral's name for it is "partial 16S ribosomal RNA". It matches the Rfam family "Bacterial small subunit ribosomal RNA", at positions 1360 to 1482 of the family's 1533-position model. The record is from RNAcentral.
CGGUGAAUACGUUCCCGGACCUUGUACACACCGCCCGUCAAGCCAUGGAAGCUGGGUGUACCUAAAGUCGGUAGCCGCAAGGAGCCGCCUAGGGUAAAACUAGUAACUGGGGCU